GCACAACGCGAAGAACCUUACCUACUCUUGACAUCCAGAGAACUUAGCAGAGAUGCUUUGGUGCCUUCGGGAACUCUGAGACAGGUGCUGCAUGGCUGUCGUCAGCUCGUGUUGUGAAAUGUUGGGUUAAGUCCCGCAACGAGCGCAACCCUUAUCCUUUGUUGCCAGCGGUCCGGCCGGGAACUCAAAGGAGACUGCCAGUGAUAAACUGGAGGAAGGGUGGGGGAUGGACGUCAAGUCAUCAUGGCCCUUACGAGUAGGGCUACACACGUGCUACAAUGGCGCAUACAAAGAGAAGCGACCUCGCGAGAGCAAGCGGACCUCAUAAAGUGCGUCGUAGUCCGGAUUGGAGUCUGCAACUCGACUCCAUGAAGUCGGAAUCGCUAGUAAUCGUAGAUCAGAAUGCUACGGUGAAUACGUUCCCGGGUCUUGUACACACCG
This 441-nucleotide ribosomal RNA is filed under the name uncultured bacterium. Its description in RNAcentral is "bacterial SSU rRNA". It matches the Rfam family "Bacterial small subunit ribosomal RNA", at positions 954 to 1392 of the family's 1533-position model. The record is from RNAcentral.